AGCCAUGCCGCGUGCAGGAAGACGGCCUUCUGGGUUGUAAACUGCUUUUGGCCGGGAACAAAAAGCCCCUGCGGGGGAAAUUGAGUGUACCGGCAGAAUAAGCACCGGCUAACUCCGUGCCAGCAGCCGCGGUAAUACGGAGGGUGCAAGCGUUGUCCGGAUUUAUUGGGUUUAAAGGGUGCGUAGGCGGGCCAAUAAGUCAGUGGUGAAAGCCCACAGCUCAACUGUGGAACCGCCAUUGAUACUGUUGGCCUUGAGUACCGUUGGGGCAGGCGGAAUUUAUGGUGUAGCGGUGAAGUGCAUA
This 304-nucleotide ribosomal RNA is filed under the name uncultured bacterium. RNAcentral's name for it is "bacterial SSU rRNA". It matches the Rfam family "Bacterial small subunit ribosomal RNA", at positions 390 to 692 of the family's 1533-position model. The record is from RNAcentral.